CUGUGGAGUAGACGCUGAUAUUGGAAUAAGAGUUCUCAUCGAGCAUAACCUCAUCAAAAUUGACAAGAACAACAAAUUUAGAAUGCACCCUUUGCUACAAGAAGUCGGAGUACAAAUUAUUCAUGAAAAAUUAGAAGGGGAUUUUGGGAAGAACAGGCUACCGUCAAAAUAUGGGACAGAAACCUUGCAGUACCUUCUUGAGAAGCUAAGAUGGAUCAGAUUGCAUGGGUUUCCUUCAGAAUGUCUGCCUAACAACUUUUAUGAGGAUGAUGCAACAGUGAUUGAUUUAAAACGCAGUCUUCUCCGAUUUCUCUGGAAAACACCCCAGGUUUUGAGAUCCCUAAAAGUCCUUAACCUCAGUCACUCCGAGCAUUUAACUACAACCCCUGACUUUACCGGAUUACCAAGUCUUGAACACCUCAUUUUCAAAUAUUGUUCAAGAUUGCGCAAACUACACCAAUCUAUUGGAUCACUCAACAGUCUUACACUGCUAAAUUUGAAAUACUGUACAAGUCUGAACAAUCUUCCAACAAAGAUAUAUGACUUGAAAUCUUUAAGAACCUUCAUUCUCUCUGGUUGUUCCAUUCACAUAAUGGAUAAAGAUAUAGCAAAGUUGGAAUCCUUGAUAACUCUAAUUGCUGAAAAUACAGCUGUGAGACAUGUGCCUUUUUCAAUUGUAAGCUCAAAAGGCAUUGGAUACAUGUCCCUACGACGAUUUGAGGGAUUAUCUAAUAAUCUUUUUCCUUCUAUCAUUCGGUCCUGGAUGUCCCCAACAAUGAAUCCCAUUUCUUAUAUUCAUUCGUUUUGCAUGGAUAUGGAGGAUAAUACGAUUGAUAUUGCACCAUUGCUUAGCACCCUUGCACAUAUUCGAAGUGUUUUGGUAGCAUGUGACACCGAACUUCAAUUAUCUAAGCAAGUGACAAAUAUUUUGGUUGAAUAUUUUGCGAAUAUUACAGAAUCAGGAAUAUCAAAGCAACACUUCAGGUGUUCUCUGAUUGGUGUUGGAGCAUACCAUCAAUUCUUCAAUGCUGUCAGCAAUAACAUAUAUGAGGUAUUGGCAAGCAGUGAGUCUGGUGAUGUUUGUCUCCCAACUGUUAACGAUUCUUAUUGUUUGGCCCAUAUGGGUGAGGGACAAUCUGUUUCUUUCACUGUGCCUCAAGAUCGUGACAUGAAAGGAAUGAUUUUGUGUGUUGUUUAUUUAUCAACCCCUAAAAUCAUUGAACCUGAAUUUACUGUUGUCUUAAUUGUUAAUUACACA
RNAcentral lists this small RNA (1258 nucleotides) under Vigna angularis var. angularis. RNAcentral's name for it is "Non-protein coding transcript". Lineage: Eukaryota; Viridiplantae; Streptophyta; Magnoliopsida; Fabales; Fabaceae. The record is from RNAcentral.